Molecule: long non-coding RNA, 2964 nt
Organism: Oreochromis aureus
Lineage: Eukaryota; Metazoa; Chordata; Actinopteri; Cichliformes; Cichlidae
Source: Ensembl
GCGCUGCGUUACUCUGCCUCGCCUCUCCUUCACUGAACACAACUGCCCCUCCCCCAUCGCUUCACCUGCAGGCAACGACAAGAUGGACACGGCAGCUAUCAAAGAGGAGCUGGUCGGUAAAAAGAAAACAUUUGGAGAUCACUAUUUUAGUGCUGCAGCGUUACUGUCAUUAAAAUGACGUUAACGCCAUAACUGUAUUAACGCGGCAAAUCUCCGUUAACGAGUUACCGCGGAUCACCCCGUGUGUCGGGCUGCACGGCAUCAACGCGUUAGCGUUGCGGUUAGUGUUAGCGGUUAGCUCCUUAACGUGUUGACGCCGUGCAGCUAGCACUACUAGUAUUUGCACCAUUUACAACACCGCCAUAAAGUGCAAAAUGAAGAGUGUGUGAAACUGCGUGCUGUAUCCCAGACCGCAUUUUAUAUUAAGAUUUAAAAAUCUAGUUGGUAUUGGUAUGGCGAAUAACCUUCAGUAAUAGUAAUAAAUCACACAGCAACAGUACAUUCAUGUAGUUGUAACAAGUAUAUAUUAAGUAAUCCAAAGUAUUCAGAAUACGUUACACUCAUUGAGUAAUGUAACAGGAUACGUUACAAAAUUUUGGCGCAUGUAUUCUGUAAUCUGUAGUGGAAUACAUUUUAAAAGUAACCUUCCCAACACUGGACACAACCGUCACCUCUGUAAUGUCCAGGAAAGCUGUCCCAUUAAAAAAACAACAACAAAGAAAAAAAAAACAGCUUGUGUGCAUAGUAGCAGUUCCUUUAUUUUGGUGGUUUUGGCACCACUGUAACAUGCCUGUGUCACAAAUGCAACUUGACAUUCACCCACUUGCUCAGAGUCUGUUGUUACAGGGAAGUGGAAGUUUACUUACAGUGCAUUUACGCAAUUAUGUUCUGUCCCGACAGCUUUUUAACAUGACAGCAUGAUUAGCACGAUCUCAGUUGCUGUGCCCCCUGAACCCACUGCAGCUUCUCAUUGGUCACCCCACCCGACAGUUUACCACUUGGACUUUACAUGAUAUAUUAGCUAGGUCUGUAAUGUAUUCAUUUCUGAGUGUUAUUUCUCUCUAUUUGCUCUUUUCAUGGUUGAGCUUCAUGUUCAUGCAGGUCUUGAACACCAAGAACAUCCAAGCUCUGCAUACUUGUGUCUGUGUUCACAGAUUUCUUUCAUACUCUGAAUCUUUAUAUAACAUUACAAAUAUAGAUAAUGGAGUCAUCAACAAAGUCUUUCACAGAGUAGAAAACCUUUUUUAAAAAACAAACAAACAAAUAAAAUAUCUAAUUUUGGUUAAUGUUACUGUGAGAGACUGGUGCUCUGUCCAGGGUGUACACCUCCUAUAAUCCUAUGACAGGUGUUAUGGACUCUAGCACACCCUGAGUUGGAUAAGUAGAGGAAAACAGAUGGAUGUGUCAUUAAUUUUGACAGCUUUUCCAGAUUUUUGCUGCCCCUCUCCCAACAUUUUUGUCAUGUACUGUGUGUGGAAGGCAGGAUCGGACCCAGAAAGGAUUUAAACAUAAAAAAAACCUCAGCUUUAUUGCUGGCACACUGGAAAACCACAGAACUAUGAACAGAACCCAGCCGGCUAUGUUAGGGAUCUGGGUCUGAAGGACCCAGGAUCCAAGAGCAGUUGGUGAUUUAUAUUAUAAUAUAUCAUAUUAUAUGUGUUUUUGCUGCACUGUGCUGCUGUUCCUGUUGUCCAUGCUUGUGUAUAUAGGCAGGUGUGUGUGUGGGUGCGGCUGUGACAGGCACCUUCAGGCGUGGUGGGUGUGCCCCUGCCAGGUGACUGGCCACACCUGAAGAUCAUCAGACACACCUGGAGCUGAUCAAGCCUCGUCGGGGAGCUACUUAACAGUGUGGCUGAGCGCUCCUCGACGCUGGAUCGUUGCGUGAGACUUCCCGAGUACGGAAGCGCAAGGGCAUAGGAAGACACAGACACUAAAUACAAGAGGGAAACACGGCAAAGAGGAAACACCUGGGAAACACGGCUGGCGCUAAUUACACUGACAAAACAUGGAAGAGCAAAACAGAACAUGACCCACACCGACGAGAGACUAUCAAAGUAAAACAGGAAGAACACAGAGGACUAGAGGAACAGACAGAUGUACAUGAAGACAAGGCUGACCUAAAAAGGGGAGGAAUCACAGACUAUAAAUACAGAAUAAAUUCAGGAGUAUAAUCAUACUGGGCUAAGAAAUAGAAAAAACAGAGAGAACCUGAUAAACAAACAAGACUCGAAGAACCAAAAGACAAGAGACUCGUAUUACUGGGUCAAAAUGACCCAGAACUGAAAAUUUUUUAAAAUCUGUUACUGUGUCACAUUUAACCUCCCAGGACGCGGCGUCCACAUAUGUGCACAUCACAUUUUGGAUUGUUUAGACCAAAAUACUAAAUUUUGCUCUACAAGGGCCUGAUAUCCACUUACGAGGACGUUAUAUUGUCACUGUUCUAUUGAAAUUUAAACCGAAUGUCCUCAUAUGUGGAUCUCAUUUUUCUCAGAAACAAAAAUUAGGUUAAAAAGAAUCAGGUAAUUCUUUGUUUUUACAUUCAUCAGGUCCCAAUCAGCCCAAAUAGCAAGGAGAAAUUAAAAAUGCAUCCCAUGAAAGAGUUCAGGUCUUAGGAGGUUAAAUUAAAGACUUUCAAAAAUCAAUUUUCUCACAGUCAAUAUUUGAUAUGUUGUCUUUUUCGUAGUUUCAGUUCUGUUUGGGAUUUAACUGUAAAUCACUCCAUUCUGCUUCUUUUCAGACUUUAAUCAUCAUGUCAGCUUUUUUCUUUUGGAAAUGGGACUGUGUUUAAAAUUUGUGUGUUCAGAUCUGCAUAAACAACUAAAUAGCUCAAAUAUAGUAACUAAAACUGAUAAAGAAUACAGACAGGGAGGAUUCAAAUAAAUAUGAAAUGUUGGACUGAGUUUUUUUUUUUUUUACAGGUUUUCACAGAAGCUUUGACUUGAGGCUUAUCUACCUUAAAUCCUA